ACAAUCUUCUGAUAACAAUUUGUUAAAAUUGGUCUAUUGCUUGUAAUGUUUUCUUUAGGUAACAUCACCAUAUGGAAACAAUCUUCAUCACAAAGAGAACACAACACAUGGGAGUUUCGCAUUUACGACUCAAGAGACUGGGAACUACCUGGCAUGCUUUUGGGUAGAUGGGGGUAAUCAAGGAGGUCACGAGGUUAGUGUGAACCUUGACUGGAAAAUUGGAAUUGCAGCCAAGGAUUGGGACUCAGUUGCUAAGAAGGAGAAGAUUGAGGUAAGUAGAUAUGGCUUUUGACUUUUACCUCUCGAUAGCUGACAAUUAAUUACUCAAGGCAUAAACUAUAUAAUAUGAAAUGAGCUAAAGCACUGUUUUAAAAUGGUUUUCGAGAACUUCAUAAAGUUUCAGUUUCCUUAAAAAAAAAAUUGCAUUAUAAAAUGGAAUCUUUAGGAAUCACGAGAAAAUUGAUCCUAAUUGGAUUCUUUCAUACUCCUUACGAUAUUAGAGAUGAAAACACAAAGCAAGUUUAAUGUACCCGACAUAAAUAAUGAAGGAUCUUCUUACUGUAUGUUGGAAAAUAUCUCUAUUUAGGGAUAAUAUAAUAUAUUUCCUGCUAUACAAUUUUUUUUAAUAGCUGUGAUAUGAUAAAAAAAUUAUUGAUAUAAUAUCAGUGAUUGUAUAUGAAUAAUUGAUUGUGCCGAGGAAUUCCUCAAGAAAUUUAGUGAACUAUUUAUCCAUCUCAAGACUAUAGUUACUUUCGUGCCAUUCUCUCUUGUGUAACAUGAAAGUAAGGUAGAGAAUCCGCAUCUAUUUAAAUCUAUACUUCUUCUGAUAUUCCGUUUCUAUAUGUGAUUGAUACCUAGGGAGUUGAGCUUGAGCUAAGAAAGCUAGAAGGAGCUGUAGAGGCCAUCCAUGAGAAUUUGCUCUAUCUGAAGGGAAGGUAAUUAUUCCAAUCAUGUCAACAACUUCUAGAAUUAAUCUUUUGCAACUUUUUGGAAAAAAAGACUUCUCUUAUGCGUGUUUAUAUAUUUUGAGCUGUUUGUUCAGGGAAGCAGAGAUGAGGAUCGUGAGUGAAAGAACGAAUGGCAGAGUGGCAUGGUUUAGUAUUAUGUCGUUAGGUAUCUGCAUUGGAGUUUCAGCUUUACAAUUGUGGCAUUUGAAGAGAUUUUUCCAGAAGAAGAAGCUUAUAUAGUUAUGCAAGUGUUAAUUUAAUUUUACUAGUGAAACAACAAUCAUAAACUAAAGUUUUUUUUUUUGAGUCCUACUUACAAGCACCAGCCAGAUUUUUUUUUGUUACCAUACAGAGUUUCCAACUUUUCUUAUCUACUGAUGUUUAUUAUAAUGCAUUUUACCAUGAUCAUUUUGAUAAAUAUGGAGUAGUAUCUAUGAGAAUUCAUGCAGCUCAUAUAGUUUCUUAUAAAUUCAUCUAGUUAUUGUGUUUUCAAUAUCAAGAAUGCGGUUCAUAAUGCUUCUACUGUAAUUUCUUUAAGAUUAUUCUCUUAUUCUAAUUCUUCAAUACAAUACUCUUUUCCUGAAAAGUGGGUGACAACUGAUAACGGGCACUAAAGUUUUCAAAUCAAAAUGUGAACUCAUUUAUAUAUGAAUGCUCUCCAUUUUCUCCCAUUUUAGCCAUAUAAUUGAAAUAUGUAAGGAAAAAAAAUCCAUAACCCAGGCGCUGAGCUUGGACAAUUAAUAUGACAUUUCAUGAAUAAAACAACGUAUUUGCAGCUGAUGUUGUGAACAGAUGCAGCUGCAAUUGCAGUUGUGGGCUACAAUUUAAAACAACGAUUGCCAUACUAAUUUCCUAAUAAGGAUUUGAAUCAAAGUAUAAUCUAUAUACGUCCACCAACAUGAAAAUAACUAACCUUUAUAUUUUAAAACAAAAACAAAAAUUGUUACCUCUAUAUGCCUAGUAUGAUUUGAUGUAUUGAUGAACUGUGUGGAAGCAUCAAGAUUCAAGACAUUCUAUUGAAAAAUAUAUAAGAAAUCAUAUAAGAGAUCAGAGGAAUGAUUCUUUCUUAUUUUAUUUCUGCAGUCCAAGACUGUUUAUAUAUUAAAAAGGAAUUACAAUAAACAUAAUGACAAACUAAUAAUGGCAUAAUAUAUUCUAAUAAUGACCAAUAAUAUCAUUUGACUUUUCUACACCCCCCUCAAGUUGGUCCAUAAAUAUUUGUCAUGCCCAACUUGACUAUAAGUCGCUCAAAAUUAGGCCUUGCCAAGCUCUUUGUCAAGAUAUCAGCAGUUUGCUCAUUUGAAGUCACAUACGGUAGGCAAAUAGUUCCAGAAACAAUUUUCUCUUUUAUGAAGUGGCGGUCAAUCUCAAUGUGCUUGGUUCUAUCAUGUUACACCGGGUUGUGAGCUAUACUUAUUGCUGCUUUGCUGUCACAGAAUAAUUUUAAGGGUAAGUCAACUUUCAACUUUAGUUCUUCCAACAGUUUCUGAAUCCACAAUAGCUCGCAGAUUCCUUGAGCCAUGGCUCUAAAUUCGGCUUCCGCACUACUCCGAGCAACAACACCUUGUUUCUUACUUCUCCAAGUAACUAGAUUUCCCCAGACAUAGGCGCAAUAUCCAGUAGUAGAUUUCCUGUCAAUAACCGAUCCUGCCCAAUCUGCAUCUGUAAAUAUAGAGACAUCUCUGUCAUUGGUUUUCUUGAAGUUUCUGGGGUUGGAUUUCAGGUACCUUAAGAUUCGGUAAACUGCCUCCAGAUGUUCUUCAUAGGGAGAAUGCAUGAAUUGACUGACAACACUCACGGAGAAAGCAAUAUCAGAUCUCGUGUGAGCUAAAUAAAUAAGCUUACCAACUAAUCUCUGGUAUCGUCCAAUGUCAACAGGAACAUUACCUUUCUCCCAGAGUUUUGCAUUUAGUUCCAUAGGAGUAUCUGCUGGUCUACACCCACUCAUCCCAAUUUCCUCCAAGAGGUCUAGGAUGUAUUUUCUCUGAGAAACUACAAUUCCCUUUCUUGAAUGCGCAACCUCCAUACCGAGAAAGUAUUUAAGUGCACCUAAGUCCUUUAUCUCAAAUUCUUUUGCCAAAUUUUUCUUCAAUCUAUCUAUCUCAACUAUGUCAUCUCCUGUGAGAAUGAUAUUAUCCACAUAAACAAUUAGAAUGGCAAUCUUACCAUCAUUGGAAAAUCGCAUGAAUAAGGUAUGAUCUGAUUGAGCCUGCAUAUAUCCUUGUUUUUUGACAGACCAAGUGAAUUUUUCGAACCAAGCCCUUGGAGAUUGCUUGAGACCAUAUAAAGACUUUUGCAAUUUACACACAUUUAACCCAAACUUGUCCUCAAAGCCCGGAGGACUAUCCAUGUAAACUUCUUCCUGCAAAUCACCAUUGAGAAAAGCAUUUUUUACAUCAAGUUGGUUAAGAGGCCAAUCUAAAUUCACUGCCAAGGACAAGGGAACUCUGACAGUGUUUAAUUUGGCAACAGGAGCAAAAGUCUCUGAGUAGUCUAUGCCAUAUGCCUGAGUAAAUCCUUUAGCAACCAAGCGUGCCUUGUACCUUUCAACUGUGUUGUCAGAGUUAUACUUUACCGUAAAGACCCACUUACAACCGACGGUAUUUUUCCCUGCAGGUAAAGUCAUGAUUUUCCAAGUUUUAUUCUUUUCAAGAGCUCUCAUCUCCUCUAGAACAGCUUCCUUCCACUUUGGAAUUUUUAGAGCCUCCUGUACAUUUUUGGGAAUUUCUACAAUAGACAACUGAGAGGUAAACACAGCAAAUGAAGAAGACAAAUUUGAGUAUGACACAAAUUUAGCCAUCAGAUGUUUGGUACACGAUCUAACCGGUUUCCUAAUUGCUAUAGGUAUAUGUAAAUCAGGAUCAUCACUUGUAGUAAUAGAAGAAGACUUACCACGACACUUAGGAAUAGAAGACUUAACAGGAUUUAGAUGAUGAUUAGGAUCAUUUCUUGGUUCAGAUUCUUGGCAGGGCUGGAGAAUGGGUCCUUCAUCUCCCCUUUUAUGGUCCCUUCUUUCAUAGACAUUUCCCUUCCAAAUAGGAUCACUGCUAUUGAACCUGUUUUGUGUUUCUUUAUUUGAGUCAUUUUGUUGUGGCAUUUCAGGCUCUUCCUCAUUACUAUCGAUAUCAAGAAUUUGUUCAUUAUGGUUUUGAUUUGAAAAUGUUGCCCCAUAAUUCGUAGGUACCUCAUUCACAAGCGGAUUGAGUUCCAUUAUCGAUUCUUGGGCAUUUUCUUUUGGUGCACCAAUGUUAGUCUCGGAAUUUUGUGACAACACUACAUCACUUAAAGUAAUAAUAUUUUCAAUAAAAGAAUCUUCCUUCAAGUCCCCCCCUUGAAGAUGAAUGUUAUCAAAAAAGGAUUGAUUCUCAACAAAAGUAACAUCCAUGGUUACAAAAACUUUUUUUGUUUUUGGGUCAAAACACUUAUACCCCUUUUGAGUUGGAGAGUAACCAAUAAAAACACAUUUGAUUGCUCGUGGCUCGAGUUUGCCGAUAUGUUUAUGUUCAUGAACAAAAGCAGUGCAACCAAAAACUCUUAGUGGUAAUUCGGCAGACACGCGUGUCAGAGGAAAAUAUUUUUUGAAAAUAUCAAGAGGGGUUUUGAAAUCUAAAACUUUAGACGGCAUACGAUUAAUUAAAUAUGAAGCAGUCAAAACAGCAUCACCCCACAAAUAUUUUGGAACCUUGUUAGCAAAGAGUAAAGCUCUUGCAAUCUCUAGAAGGUGCCUAUUUUUUCUCUCUGCGAUUCCAUUUUGUUGGGGUGUAUUAACACAAGAACUUUGAUGAAUAACCCCAUUUUCAUGAAAAAAAUCGGACAAAACCAUAUUAAAAUAUUCUGUACCAUUGUCACUUCUGAAGACUUGAACAUUUGUUUGAUAUUGGGUCUGCACCAUUUUAUAGAAGUUUUUAACAAUUUGUCCAACUUCUGAUUUUUCUUUUAACAAAUAAACCCAACAAAUUCUGGUAUGAUCAUCGAUAAAAGUUAUAAACCAUUUUUUAUUUGACAAAGUGCUUAUUUUAUUAGGACCCCAAACAUCACUGUGAAUAACUGCAAAAGGCUUUGAAUGUUUAUAUGGUUGUGUAGAAAAAGAUGAACGAUGAUGUUUAGCAAAUUCACAAGUUUCACAGUGAAAUAAAGUAGGAUCCUUCUUAGAAAAUAAUUUAGGGAACAAGUGUUUCAAAUACGAAAAACUAGGAUGUCCUAGCCUUAAAUGCCAUAACAUAUUGUCAUCAUUAUUAGAAAGAACAAAGCUAGAUUCAAAGCAGGUACUUAUUUGUUGAGGUUGAUCCUUGAAGUCGGGUCCAUUGUCAAGGUAGUAGAGUCCUCCACUCUUUUUAGCACUGCCAAUCAUCUUCCCCGUAAAUCUAAUUAUCAUCAGUGCAUCUCCAAUUAUCAUCAUAGCAUAAAUCUAAUUCCUGCCAUAACGCCAUUAACUCAUUAUAAUAAGUGGUCACAUCCCCCAGAACCUCCACCGCCAGGGCCGCCACCACCAGAACCACCGCUGCCAGUAGUGGUGCUGCCGUUGUUGUUGGUGACAAUCGAUAUGGGGCUGCUACCAUUGUUUACCGUUUCUGAUUCUUGAGUUGGACCGCCACUACUUGUGGUGGUCAUAAAAGCUGUUUUCAGCGUCAGGUCAGGAAUGGUUGUUGUCGUCUUCCAUGGAUUGUGAUGAACCAUUAGAGAGACGAAAAAAAUUGCGAUUUUGAGGGAUCACAAAAGAUUAAGACUUGCAGUUAACUAUUUGCAAGCUGCUAACCCUAAUCGAACCAUAAGGCUCUUGAUACCAUAUUGAAAAACAUAUAAGAAAUCAUAUAAGAGAUUAGAGAAAUGAUUCUUUCUUAUUUUAUUUAUGCGGUCCAAGACUGUUUAUAUAUUAAAAAGGAAUUACAAUAAACAUAAUAAACAUAAUGACAAAUAAUGUCUUAUCAUGACUAAUAAUGGCAUAAUAUAUUCUAAUAAUGACCAAUAAUAUCAUUUGACUUUUCUACACAUUCACAGUAGGAAAUUUUUGCAAUGAGACAAUAUGGCCUGUAAUAACGUGCAAUGAUAACCUCAACACCUAUAUACCUCUAGCAGGAUGGAAUGGUACAUGCCCAUGAAAACCACCUAAUCAGUUUCCGAUUUAAUCCACGAUGAACCUGAUUUUUAUGAUGUUAGUCUUACAGAUGGCUUCAAUUUACCUAUAGCAAUAGAAGCUAUUAAAUGGAAGUGUGGUAAUUGUGGCAGUGUUGGUUGUGAAGAUGAUUUGAGGCAUUGUUGUCCAUCAAAGUUAGUUAUGGGGUCUGUUUGGAUUGGCUUAUUUGAGCUAAUCUACUGGCAUAAGUUUUGUGAGACUGUUUGGGAGAACUUACAAAAACAGCUUUUGACAAUUUUCAAAAGCUUUUUACAACUUAUUUUAUUAGUUCUCUAAUAUAGUUCAGAAAAACAACUUAUAGCAUAAACAAAUUUUUUAUUUUAUCUUUUGCUAGAGAAAUAGCUUAAGAAAGCUUAUCCGUAAGCGUUUAUCAUGAUAAGCGCUUGUGCUAUAAGCUGCAAAUAAAUUGUUUACCCAAACAGACCCUUAAAUGCAAAUGAUGAAGUUGUUGCUUGUUGCAUGUGGUCCUUCGCCCAGUACUGAUGAAUAUUGUUGCAGAGGGAGUUAUGAAAACCCUCUACAUUUUAAACAUGUCCUACAACAUGUAGUUUUGCCCACGAUGAUGCAUCAGGUUUAGAAACAUGCUUAGGUGCAAACUUUGUUGUCAUGUUCUGGGGAUCAAGGUUUUUUUUCUUUCUUUACAAACAAUUUCUUUCAAAAAUUGGAAACACAAGCAUAGUGGAAUUAUUAAUAUUAAUCAUAAUCAUCACUAUGUAAAAUUUAUCCCUCACAGUCAUCGUCUACGAAGCAUUUACACAAACACGGAUACAAGACACAACACUCAUAAUAUUUUAUAUGAAUGCAUUCUUCUCAUGUCUGUGUCACUGUGUGGUGUUAUACUAGGUAGACAAACACAGAAUAUAGACAGUUGUUAUCCGUUAUAGAUAGUUGAUAUUUAAGACGAACAUUCUUUAUUCAAAAUCAUCAACAUUCAGGAUACAAUUUUUGUCUAUUAUAUUUCUGAAGACAAUAACAGAGCAAACAAAGAGCUUGAUUACAUGGGAGGUUGUUGAGUGUGAAGCUUCCUCUGCAGUUUAUUAAGUGUGACAACGACAGUGACAUAGAUCUUAUCAUUCAAGUUGCUUAGAAAACGGAAAUAAGCAUGUCGCCAAGAUGCAAUGAGUAUUAAUGAGCCCCAAAAUACCCAAAAUCCAGUUGAAAAUCCCAUAGCCAUGCUUAUGUAUAAUGGAUUUAUUUCCAUUCCCAAUACUUUGUCUUCAUGGUUGUCAUCACUUUCAUGUUCUAUGCUCCCUUCAAUGUCACUGCAAUGUUUGUCCUUGAACCAGCUGUUUCCAUCUUCUAGGCAUGCUUUUGUGAGUGGAGAACCACAAAGGUGUGGAUUACCUUGGAAUGAGGAUUCGUCAAAUGUUUCCAUCUGAAUGCCGAUAGGGAUAUUCCCAGACAAAGUGUUGUAUGAUAAGUUCAAAACACCGAGAGAACAAAGAUUAACCAUGCUAGUGGGAAUGGCACAUGAUAACUGAUUACUCGACAAAUCCAACCAUUCCAAGCUUUCCAUUUCACCAAUAUUGGAAGGAAUGGAACCCACCAAUUGGUUACUCGACAAAUUUAAUCCCACCAAUUCAACUAGCUUUCCAAUUUCAGCAGGAAUGCCUUCUUUUAAAAAAUUUGAUGACAAGUCAAUAAUUUUUAUAUAUCCAAACAUACGUCCACCUCUAUGGAAAGACCGAUCAGCUCCUUUCCAUGAAAUUAGAAGUGGGUGCUUUGAUCUAGAUAGAUAGAUCGAAAGACUUUCCUCAAUUGUAAGAAACUCCAUAUAGGACUUUUCAUUUACACUUUCUUCGGUAGCCAUUGCAGGGAAGACACAUCUUGGAAUUGGUCCCGUCAAUUGAUUGUCAGAAAGAUCUAAUAUAUGUAGAGACUUAAGUAGGCAUAAAUUUGUUGGGAUAUUUUCAUCAAAGGAAUUCCUUCCCAAUAUAAGUGCCUCUAGGAUUUGCAUGUCUGUACCAAUCCAAUAUGGUAUGGGCCCCCUUAAUCGAUUCGACUGUAAAUCCAAUAAAGUCAUCACUUGACAAUUUUUUAGUGUCUCUGGAAUUCCUCCAGAGAGAUUAUUGUUGUACAUUAUCAACAUGUGGAGAUUUAUGAGGUUACCAAAGGAAUCUGGAAUUGAUUCAGUAAAAUUGUUUUUCGCCAGAUUCAGAAUAAUCAUGUUCGUCCCAUUUGUCCAACAAUUUGGGAUGACUCCUGACAAAUUAUUAAAAGAUAAGUCAAGAGUCUCCAAUGAGUUAUUGAAACACAAAAUCUCACAUACAUGUGAAAUUGUUCCAUAAAAUAAAUUGUUGGACAAAUCCAAAUGUCUCGAGUUAGGAGGCAAACGAGGCAAGGCACAUGAGAAAUUAUUGUUGCUCAAAUCAAGUGUUUUAAGUUUGAAUUUUUGUGAAAAAUCAUGUCCACAACUUCUCAGCCCAUUGUAAGAGAGGUUCAUAUGCUCAACACUAGGCAACAAAUCCCAAAACCAAUUUGGUACAAUAUCAAAGACACCUGCAUUUGAUAUAUCAAUAUGGGAAAAAUUCUUCUGCGUUUGAAUCCAUUUUGGAAAUUGAGGGCCCAAAUGACAUUUCGCCAAACCUAUAUUUUCAAGUUGGAAAGGAGGGAUCCAAUUUUUGCUCAUGUUCAAAGUUACAUCAUUAAAAGAUAGGUCCAACACUUUGAGGUUGCUAAAGUUUGCAAGAUGAACAUCACUGAUAAUUCCCUCCAUAUUGUUUACAGCUAAGUUCAACACAACCAAACUUGAUAACUGGUGAAUGCUUCUUUCCAAUGAUCCGUUUAGUUGAUUAAUAGAAAGAUGCAAUUCUUUCAAAUUAUUUAGGCCAUGAUCUUGUCCCAAUGUGGAAGGUAUUGAGCCACUGAGCAUAUUAUAUGAUAGAUCAAGUGCUACAAGAUUCACUAGCCAGUCAAAGAAAUUUGGUAUUGAACCAAUGAGACUAUUUUUUGACAGAUCAAGUAUUUCAAGAGUUGUUAAUCUCACAAUUGAAUAUGGUAUAAGACCUUGUAAAUUAUUCAAUGAGAGAUUAAGAUUUUGAAGGUGAUGACACUUUUCAAACAACCAAUCAGGGGUACUAUUGAAAUAAUUGAUAGACAGAUCAAGAGUUACAAGAGAAUCAAAAUUCACUUCAGGUGGAGGAGAUGUAGGUAGUUUGUGAAGUUGGCAACCCGAUAAACGCAAUGUUUCAAGAGAAUGAAGUAUUGCUCUUAUAUCAUGAAACCAAUCAUUUUCACAACUACUAAGAUCAACACCACUUAAAUCGAGAAUUUUCAUGGAAGAAAGUCCUUGAAGCCAUUUUAGAUUAUUGACAUAGAAAGCAUUGCCACUCAAAUCAAGUGAUUCAAGUAGAGACAGGUUUACAAGAUUAUCAGAGAGGUUGCCCUUAAAAUUGGCAUGAGAUAGGUCAAGAUGUUUUAAAUUUUGCAUAUUACCAAGAAAGUCAGGCACUCUAGAUUGCAUGAAAUCAUUGCCAGUUAGGUUCAAAUAACUUAAAUAUGGCAAUUGUAGCAAUGCUGAACUUACAUGACCCUGAAGUUUAUCUAAGGAAUUAGAGCAAUAGAGAUCAAGGGAAAUAACAUGACCUGUGGUUGUGUUACAUCCUACUCCUUUCCAAUGGCAACAAUCAUUUCCAUGUUUCCAUGAAGAUAGAACAUUUGAAGGGUCUUUCAAGCCUUCCUUGAACUCAAGAAGAGCCUCUGCUUCACUUGCUAUGAACUGAGAGUUUAACCCUCCGUUGCAUUGAACAAUUCCCUGCAUUAGAAGGCAUAGAAUUGCAAUAAAUUGAAGGAAACCGGUAUUCACCAUCAUUUUGAUUCUUAUGGUUCUCAAUUCUUACUCUUUCUUAAUUUUUAGUGAAUGGGAACACCAGUACUUAUAUUCACCAUCACUGAAUAUUAUAUUCUUACUUAUUGUUGGUAUUAUUAUUUAGGAUUUUUCUAUCAUGUGCAAAUAUCAUGUGCAAAUUUGCACAUGUUAAGAAGUUUAAAAUAGAAACUUUGUAUUGAAACUUGCACAUUUAAUAUUAAAUAUAAAACUUUUGAAUAUAUAAUUGUUGUUUUCCAAGAAAAAGUUACUACUAUUAGUUGUCUUAACAUGUACAAUGUUGCACAUGUUAGACAAACCCUAUUAUUUAUACUCCCUCCGUCUCACAAUAAUUAUCUCUUUACCCAUUUUUCUUUUUCUCAAAAUAAUUGUUACUUUAGAAUAUCAAUGCAUAAUUUAUUAUUUUUUUCAUUAUUAUACCCUUAUUUAUUGAAUUUCAUUAGUAAAACUUGUAAAAAAAAAAGGUGUUUUAGUAAAUGAUAUUAAUUUUACCAUCAAAAUCAACACAAUUAAUCAUUUCCUUAAUAAUCGUGCAUAAACCUUAAACGACUAUUAUUUAAAUAUUGAGGAUGAGGAGUAAAAGAGUUACUUCUUGGCGGUUACAUUCACUUGUCUGUCGGUUCAUUCUUAUCAAAUGAAGGUCAUGACUAUCUUCCAUCAUUAUAAAAAUUAAGUUUAUGUUUGUGAACAAAAAUCUAUCAUUUAGUAUUGUUGUUUUUUAUUUUAAUUACUACAUUUUUAAUUAAAUAUGAAAAUUAGAACUAGUUUAAAUUUAAUUUGUUAAGAUUGAUAGAAAGUUUAAAAUUGAUUUGGUUUAAAAUUUAAUUACUAUUAUAUCAAAUUUGAUUUAAUUAAAAUUGAAAAUCAGGAUUAAAAGUCAUUGAAGUCAACACCGUCAACAUUGUUUAGCUCUAGUAAGUUUCAUCCUUAAUUCCCUCCUUAGUCUCCUGCAUCUAUACUGUAACAUCAUAUUGUCCCAUUUUUCAACAAAGUCUCUUGUCUUUUGCAAAAGAAAUGACAAUAAUAAAAAUCUUUUGGGAAGUCAAGAAUAAUUUGAUAUCUUUUAUUUAUUUAUUAUGAAAAGCAAGAUUUAGUUGAUCUUGACUUUGAAUGAAUGUUCUUCAGCCAUGGAAUCUAUAUUUAUUCAAAUUUUGCUGUUUCCGGGAAAAGCAUAAUAACAAAUAAUUGAUUUCCAGCAAAAUAACGAAGAAAUUCACUGCAGUACGUGUCUUUCACUCUUAAAAGUUAAAAAAUGAAUUUGGAAAGAAAAACUUUAUUAAAGUUGGUCAGUAAAUUCACUCACAUCAGUGGUUGAUUGGUGUUCAUUUUGACAGAGGAGCAAAAAAUUGAGAAAGUUUUAUGAAAAUGUGAUCUUGUAAUGCUCCAUACAACUUUAAGUAUUGUCAAUUGACCACACAAACCAACAUAAGUCUUCAAACACGUUUAACUAUGAGUUUCUUAUGGCAUAGGCGAUCGAAAAAAUUAUGCAUCUUGUUGAUAUAAGUAGCACCAAUCAAUUCUUAUAAGUCAUCCUUCAACCAUACAGUUUCAUACGACCUAUAAUCCCUCUUAUUAUGAUGUGAAUUCGGUUCAUUCAUGUGUCUUUUUUGCUUAGAAGCUGUCCGGAACCACUCAUUGUCUAUGCCUUGUGCAACGUCGAUCAAUCCCUGUCCUCGUCAGCCUCAGACGUCACAUACCCGCCAGUUUAUGCUUGGUUUACCCCUGAACCACAAUGUCAAUAUUGAUUGCAUUAGACAGGUCUGCGAAAUAAGCAAAUGACAUAACUGCUUUGUCAGCAAACUGUUAAUUAGAUUCCCUUCUAUCUAACUGAUCAGGAUUUAGGAGUAUAGAUCAUAUGGAGUAGUAUAUAUGAGAGUUCAUGCAGCUCAUAUAGUUUCUUAUAAGUUCAUCUUGUAAUUCUGUUUUCAAUAACAAGAAUGCAGUUCAUAAUGCUUCUACUCUAAUUUCUCUAAGAUAAUUCUCCUAUCCUAGUUCUUCAAUACUCUCUAUUCAUGAAUACUGACCAUGGGCACCAAAGUUUUCAAAUCAAAAUGUGAACUCAUUUUUACAUAAAUGCUCUCCAUUUUCUCAUAUUUUUAUCCAGAUAAUUGAAAUAAGGAAGGGAGAAAAUGCAUAACCCAUUUCAAGAAUAAAACCACGCAUUUGCAGCUGAUAUUUUGAAAAGAUGCAGCUGCAAUUGCAGUCGUGGACUACAAUUUAAAACCACGGUUGCCAUGCUAAACUUUCCUAAUAAGGAUUUGAAUCAAAUUCUAAUUUAUAUAUGUCCUCCAAUAUUAAAACAAUCUUUAUAUUUUAAAACAAAAAUAGAAGUUGUUACUUCUAUAUGACUAGUAUGAUUUGAUGUAUGGAUGAAUGAACUGUGUAGAAGCAUCAAGAUUCAAGACAUUUACGGUAGGAAAUUUUUGCAAAAUAUGGUCUGUAAUAACGCGGAAUGAUAACCUCAACACCUAUGGAUUCACAUUUUGACAGUCAGCAGUAUAUACUGCUCCAGCAGGAUGGAAUGGCAGAAUAUGAGAUAGACCGACCAUACUGCAUAUUUGAUACACUAACGCAAAAUAUAGAUAGUUAUUAUCAGUUAUAGAUAGUUGAUAGAGUUGUGUUAUUUGAACAUCCAUUUGUUUGACAACUUAUGCGACAACCAUAUUUUUACAAAGAAAUAUAUGUAUUAACACGAAAACCAAAACAAUGGAAAAGGAGAAAAUAAAAAUAUAAUGUGAGUAUAAGAGAGAUAGUUGUCACAAAAGUUGUAAUAAAAUUGUUUUACAAAUAUCAUUUCUCUAGUUGAUAUUUAAGACAAACAUUCUUUAUUCAAAAUCAUCAACACAUACAAAUUUUGUCUCUUAUAUUUCUUAACACAAUAACAGAGCAAAUACAGAGUUUGGUUACAUGGAGGUUGUUGAGUGUGAAACUUCCUCCGCAAUUUAUUAAACGUGACAACAACAGUGACAUAGAUCUUAUCGUUCAUGUUGCUUAGAAAACAGAAAUAAGCAUGUCUCCAAGAUGCAAUGAGUAUUAAAGAUCCCCAAAAUACCCAAAAUGCAGUUGAAAAGCCUGUUGGUGUAAGCCCUAAGGCCAAUAGUUUAUGUUAAAUUUAUCUUAUGUAUCAUGACUUUUAUUAUUGAAUAAUAUAUGAUACUCUUUAUUAUAUUUAUAGUAAUGUUAAUAAAGUCCCUAGAAUAGAUAGUUCAUGUAAUAAUAUAUUAUGUGUGACUUAAUCAUGAGAUUACAUUAUCAUAAAGAACGUUGUUCUUAAAUGUAUCCGUAGUCAAGCUUUAAUAUGAAUUAGGAUAAUGUGAGACUAUCAUGUAUGUAGAUUGAUGACCGCAUCUCAUGGGUCAUAGAUAUGAGAUAUUAAGUCUAUACAUAGGUAUAAAUAUUAGGAGUAAUAUUUAUACUGGAUUUACCCACCGUAAGUUAUGAGAUUGUCAUAAGAUAUUCUUGCAAUGAUAAUAGUGUAUAUUGCUCUUAGACCUGAAACCACUAUGAUCCCUAGAUGUGGACUCAAGUGCUUUGUUGCCAUUCUAACGUUAUAUGUAAAAGGGUAACAAUAACGUUGGUUGAUGGGUACUUGAUGAAUCAUGCUGAUUGAUCAUAAUUCUUGUUUUUUCUAUUUCUAUUGUUCUGAUUUGUUUGGUUUCUAGGGUUAUUUUUUUGUUGACAUUGUUCUCAAUUUUGAUCAAUUGAUGGGUUGAUUUGUUGAAUAAUGGAUUAGUAUGAUAUGAUUUACUAUUUAGUUGACGUAAUUAGUAAUAUGGAGUAUAAAACUAAAAUUACUUAUCAGAUUUAGCAUUGAUUUUGCAUGAUUAGUUGAUGAUCAUAAAAUGGAAGAGAUGAUUUGAUUUUUUUUUUGGCCUAAUUGCUUAUUUUAAAUGAUAGAAUUGGAAUGUGUUGUCCUAAUUUCUUUUGUUGAUCAACAAUUUUUUUGUGAUAUUUUACAUGAAUGCAUUCUUAAUUGUCUGUGGUGUUAUAGUAAUUUGACCUAUUUUGUUUUGUUUUUGCAUAUAUUAAUCGAUGAGCGAAAUUUUCUUUUGUUAUAUGUCUAUUUCUGGAGCCUGAGCAGUGUAGGUUUGAUCGGUUAUGUGCAUGAUAUCCAUAAAUUGAUCUUUACUCUGUAUUCUUUGCUGUUGAGUUUAGUCUUUUGAGGGGACGGGUAAUUUUUUUUUUCUUCCUGUAGUUGUUUUGAUUGUAGAAAAUGGAAACAUCACAAAAUAUAUCAUUCACAUACACGUGGAUUCGAUUUAGUUACACAUUGGUUUUGAGAGCAAUAUCCUUUGUGUGCUGAGUGUUACCAUACGAAAAUGGAAAAUCGUUCGUUUAUCUUAGUUAGGCAUGAAUCACUUUCAUGAUAACUUCAAAUGAAAAUGUCAUAGUGGAGCUUUAAUUACAAUCUUCUGAUCCUCUUAAAAAAAAAUUACAAUCUUCUGAUAACAAUUUGUUAAAAUGGUCUAUUACUUGUAAUGUUUUCUUUAGGUAACAUCACCAUAUGGAAACAAUCUUCAUCACAAAGAAAACACAACACAUGGGAGUUUCGCAUUUACGACUCAAGAGACCGGGAAUUACCUGGCAUGCUUUUGGGUAGAUGGGGGUAAUCAAGGAGGUCACGAGGUUAGUGUGAACCUUGACUGGAAAAUUGGAAUUGCAGCCAAGGAUUGGGACUCAGUUGCUAAGAAGGAGAAGAUUGAGG
This 14612-nucleotide long non-coding RNA is filed under the name Medicago truncatula (barrel medic). Its description in RNAcentral is "long non-coding RNA (MTRU_LNC006571)". Lineage: Eukaryota; Viridiplantae; Streptophyta; Magnoliopsida; Fabales; Fabaceae. The record is from RNAcentral.